UUUCCAUCCACGUCGGUCUUCUUCUUGAAGAUCCAUUUGCACCCAACGGUCUUACGUCCGGGCACAUAAUCAACCAAAUUCCAAACUUGGUUAUCAUACAUGGAUUGGAUCUCGCUAUCCAUUGCCUCUUUCCAUUUUGCAGACUCCGGGCCUGCCAUGGCUUCCUUAUAGCUAUUAGGUUCAUCAAGAUUUACUAGUGUACCAUCACUAAUAUACGUGUCCCCUUCGGUAGUAAUAUGAAAACCAUAAAACUGGGGAUGAACUCUAACUCUAUCGGAACGUCUAAGAGGUAAGGAUUCGUCAAUCGGUUCAACCGGAGUUUCCUCCUCGGGUUGAGUGCCAGCGGUAGAGGUUCCUUCAUCUAUCGACUCUUGAAUCUCUUCAAGUUCGAUUUGCCUCCCACUGUCUCCUUGGCUUAUGAGUUCUCGCUCUCGGAAAACUCCUCUCCUCGCAACGAAGACAACAUUGUCCUUCGGUCUAUAGAAGAGAUAUCCAAAGGAUGUCUGCGGGUAGCCGAUGAAAAUACAUCGCUCACUUCGAGGUUCAAGCUUGUCGUGAGUAUCUCGUCUUACGAAAGCCUCGCAACCCCAAACCUUGAUAUGUGCCAACGAGGGAGCUUUCCCUGUCCACAUCUCGUGAGGUGUUUUGGCAACCUUCUUAGUAGGGACUCGGUUAAGGAUAUGGGCGGCAGUCUCUAAGGCAUACCCCCAAAAAGAGAUAGGUAGUGAAGCACGACUCAUCAUAGAGCGAACCAUAUCCAAUAAGGUUCGAUUACGCCUUUCUGCCACACCAUUCAACUGCGGUGUCCUAGGAGGCGUCAAUUGUGAAACUAUUCCACACUCCUUGAGAUAAUCGUGGAAUUCAAGACUUAGGUACUCUCCUCCUCGAUCGGAUCGAAGCAUCUUGAUUUUCCUGCCCAAUUGAUUCUCCACUUCAUUCUUGAACUCUUUGAACUUUUCAAAAGUUUCUGACUUUUGCUUGAUUAAAUAGAUAUACCCAUAUCUACUAUAGUCAUCGGUAAAAGUCACGUAGAAGCGGUUCCCAUCCUUCGUGGUUGAUCUAAACGGUCCACAUACAUCGGUAUGUAUUAGGUCCAAUAGACCCUCACCCCUUUCACACGUACUUGUGAAGGGUGACUUAGUCAUCUUUCCAAGUAAACAAGAUUCGCAUGUGUCAUCUUCCCUAAGGUCGAAUGACUCCAACACUCCAUCCUUUUGGAGUUGGGCUAUGCGUUUCUUGUUGACAUGUCCAAGACGACAAUGCCACAAGGAUGCUUUAUCCAUACUAUUGGAAGAAUCUAUGUUCAAAACAUCAUUUCCUAAGUUAUCAACAAUCAUAACAGUUUCAUAAAUUCCAUUACAUGGUAUAGCUUCAAAAUAAAAGACACCAUUUAGAUAAGCCAAAAUAGAACCAUUCUCAUUAUUAAAAGAAAAUCUAAAACCUUGUCUAAACAAACCAUGAAAUGAAAUGAUGUUUCUAGCCAUUUCUGGCGAAUAGCAACAAUUGUUCAAAUCUAAACUUAAACCAUUCCUAAGCACUAAAGAAUACACUCCAAUCUUGGUCACAGGCGACGAUCUUCUGUUCCCCAUGAUUAGAUUUAUUCUUCCAGGCUCCACAUCCCUAUUUCUUCUUAGUCCCUGCACAUUAGAACAAAUGUGGUAACCACAACCGGUAUCAAGAACCCAAGAAAUAGCAUGAGAUGAAUCGUUAGAUUUAAUUGUGUAUAUACCUGCGAAAGACGGCUUGAUCUUUCCUUCCUUGAUGGCUUGCAGGUACUCUGGGCAGCUUCUCUUCCAAUGUCCUAUCUUGUGGCAGUGGUGGCACUCUGCCUCCUUUGGGUUAGGGCAGGGCUUAGCAGGAUCAACUUUGGUCCCACUAGAAGAGGCACCAUCUCGGGCUUUAACCUUGCGAUAGUUCUUAGACGAAGCCUUCCUCUUCUUUCCCUUUCCUUGUCCAAUAGCCAAGACAGGAGCAGCGGGUGGAUUGGGAGUUGGUGCAACAGACUUGUCCUUGAAGUUGCUCUCAGCGACCCUCAAGAGACCUUGGAGCUUGCUUAGGGUGACCUCUUCUUUGUUCAUGUGGUAGGUCAUCCUAAAUUGAUUGUAACUCGGAGGCAAAGAGUGAAGCACCAUGUCGAUCGCCAAGUCUUCCCCAAAGUCAACAUUCAACUUGCGAAGACGGUCGACAUACCUUUGCAUCUUUUGCAGGUGCACGGUAAGAGACUCUCCAUGACCCAUCUUAGCGGAAAUCAUGUUAGUGAAAAUCUCAUAACGCUCUUGUCUCGCGUUUUGGUGGUAUCUCUCCAAUAAGUCUUGAUGCAUCUCGUACGGGUACAUGUCCUCAUAGGACUUUUGGAAUUCGGAGUUCAUGGUGGCUAUCAUGAUGCAAUGUACCUUCGUUGCAUCGCGCUCAUGAGUUUCAAAAGCGGUCAUUUCAGCCGGAGUAGCGAUUUCAGGGUUAAUUUUCUCGAGCUUCUCAUCGAGGACAUACUCCUUAUCCUCAUAGCGAGCAAUUGUGCGAAUGUAUCUUAUCCAUUCGCUAAAGUUCGUCCCAUCGAAAGUGACCUUUUGACAAAGGCUCAUCAAUGUGAAUGAACUAGCAGCAGCGUUGUUUGCGUUCGACAUCUACAAAUAGAAAGGACAAAGAUAGAUUAGAAUAUGAAUCCCUAAUUAUCACCCAAUUAAAAAAAUUAGGGCUAGGAUCCAACAACAAUAUUUACAUAUUAGAAAAGGGAUGUCGUAAUCUAACAUGCAAACAAUUUGAAGGUAAGUGAAUGACGAUUCACUAAUUCUCCACCAUAAAAACAUAACUUUAAGUUCUAAAUGUAUUGAGAAUUCCUAGGUUUGGAUGAGAUUCAUUGAAACUUUUCAAUGGCAUGUUUAAAUCUCGAUAUGCCCCUCUUGUUUGUGACUGGGAUACCGAGGAUCACAAAGCGGGUGUGAAUUACCAUGCAAAUUCACAUGGUGCCUUCAUUGUAACGAUCACCUAUUCGAUGUGCCGGUAAACCACACACGCUCCAUCGAACUAUGAUAAACAAUGAAUCACCCUUUGCCACCUUUGCUUAGAACCAAUUAGUGUGCCGGUAAACCACACACGCUCCACUAACUUCUUAGCAAGGGUGCAAAGUGUAAUUUCAUGGGAUUGCAUCAAUUCACUUUUCCUAAAGUAACUAAGAUUGGGAAAUUUUUGAAAAACAUGUAGUUACUUUGUAUUUCAUAUUAUACUUUUAAUGAAGAGAUGAGGUUGCCCUAUCCUACUCGUUCGGCUAACGACCCUCCACCGAUCAAGCAAGCGGUAGGUGUGAGUGUACACCCAUUAAGCGCCAUUUUAUAGGCAUCAACCUUAUACCCACCUUAUAGACCGGCUUCGUGAAUGAGGCCUACUAACGGUAAGACUAGCAUUUUAAUUAUAUAUAUAUAUAUAUUAAUCUUGUAAUAUUAUAUUAGUAUAGGGUUGGAUUUUAAACUUGUAAAAUUCUAGGGUUUGAAAUUUAAAUUGUCUAAAUUAAACUUUUAAUCACAAAACAUAAAUUUCAAAACUUGAGGGCAAGUUUUAAAAUUUUUAAAACAUAGAGGAUCAAAUAACAAAUAAUCUUAAUUAACAAUUAAUUCCAUAAUUAUCCAUAUUUGAUUUAUUUAAUGAUUUCUUGCAAAACAAUUUACCAAUUUAAUAAAAUAAUUAAUCAAUUAUCACAUAAGGAAACAAAUAUUUAAUUAAUUGAUAAAUAUCUUCAAUUAGGUCAAGAAUAUACUCAUAUAUAUCAUAAAAUCGGAUUUAUAUUGAUCUAAUAUGAUUAAGGCAAGUAUCUCAAAGAUAAACAACAAGAAAUCCCGAAAUUUCCUCCUUCUGACGCUCGAACUCGCCGAGUACGCAGAUGGACUCGCCGAGUUGAGCCUACUCGGCGAGUACCACCAGGGGACUCGCCGAGUUCUUUAGCCAGAGGACAAAAAAACCGAUUUUUUCAGCAACAAACAAGCAAUCAAAGUAUGAAUUCAAUAGAAACCAAUCUAGGCUCUGAUACCAUUGAUGGGUUUUAGCCAUAUGAACAUCCCUAUGUGCACAUGCAACCCUAAUGCUUGGAUCUAGGUUUCUCUAAUUGAUCAUACAUUGAAUCCAAGACUUCUAAUGGCUAAUAUACAAUAAUAACAAUAUGAAAUCAGAGAUUAGAAGUUUACCUUGAAUCACUUGCUUGAUCUUGUUGUCCUUGAGGCUUUAGAGUCACAAUUGUCACUCCUCUAAUGGCUUACAAACACCAACUAGCAAGGAGGAUGAUUUGAGAGAGAGGAGGGAAGAGAAAUUCGGCCAGGGUUUCUUCUCUAAGCACAAGUGCCGAAAUCCCUUAGCCCUUGGGGUCUAUUUAUACUUGUAAGGCUCCUAGGGUUUCACCCUUAAACCCUAAUUGGAUAACUUAAGCCCUAAGCAAUCCAAAUCCUUUCCAUGAUAAGCCUUGGACGAUUUUAUGGCUAUCCUUAGCCCUAGAAAUCGUCCACCCCUUAUCCAUAAAGGAUAUAUAGCCCAAAGUGCAACUAUCAAACAAUUGACAGUUUAUACCCCUUUAUUUAAUUAAUCUCUUUAAGUCACCAAAUUAAUUCCAAAUUAAUUUAUGACUUAUAUUAAUCAAAUAACAAUAUUAUUAUUGCUUAUAUUAUUCUUAUAAUAUAUUAAUAAUAUUCCAUCUCUCAUUAUAAAUCAUCCUGUCAAGUUGCUAUGGUGAAGGCAACCCAAAAGGACCAUGCUCAACCAGGUCAAAUACUUGCCUUAUAUAGUUGCAGCCUUAGACACUAUUCCAACAAGAGGAACAACAAAACAAUGAAACAUGGCAGUAGACAGAACAGAGCUUUUCAAAGCGACAAUCAACAUCUUCAAAUCUUCUGGAUACAGUGAAACAUCCCCCUCGACUUGAUAAUUGGUUCCUUGAAUCUUCAUAAUUGUUUGAGAAGUAACGUCUUCAGUUGUUUGUGAUGGAGCAGCAACAUCAGCAGGAGUAGCCAUGAUUAGGGUUUUGGACCUUUGAAGAACAAGUAAAGAUUUCUGAGACAAUUUGGCAUUUUUCUUUUGAAAGCGUAAACUGAUAAAGAUUUCUGAGACAAUUUGGCAUUUUUCUUUUGAAAGCGUAAACUGAUAAAGAUUUCUGAGACAAUUUGGCAUUUUUCUUUUGAAAGCGUAAACUGUCACAUCUGCUUGAAAACCUGGAAGAAUAGAAGGCGUCUUAUCAAAUAGCCUAUUUGUUUAUCCCAAUAGAAUUGUAACCAUCACGAUCCUUCGAUAUGGAGGUAAGGUUCUUUCACUUUUAGGAUGAAAAGCGAAGUCAUAUGCCAGACUGUCAAAUCAUCAGCCUGAGUUGGUAUUAGUCAGAACCUCAAGGAUUUUGUGAGUGCGGUGAGCCAAAGAAAUAAGAUGAGAAUCCAAUCUUAACAAAAAAUUGGAGUCAGUGAAAUUGUACCUCUGUUAUGUGUGGACCAAACAGUUUACUCUUAACUCAUUUGAGAAUAGUCAGGUAGCUCAGGAGACUAAUGUGAAUAUAAGCUGGAUUAGGAAGAAAUUUUUAUCAUGAAAGAUUUCAUUAAGACUUUCGUAAACACACAUUGAGUCAAUGGAGGCUUGGGUCGACAUGCUGCAGCAUGCUUCUAGGGACAACUUAACUAGUUCAAAGUUUUUGAAAGAUUACCUGACCCUAGGACUGCAAGAAUCAACCAUAAGAACCAUCUUGGAUAUCUGCAACACUUCACUUAAAAAAACACUUAUUAGACAAACAAAAAAAUAUUUUUGUUGUUUUUGAUUUUUCGAAAAUAAAUAAAAAAACUAAACGAAAAUAAAAUCUUUUUGGUGUUUUUAAUUUGUUGAAAAUUAAAAGACUAAACAAACGAAAAUCUUUUCGGUAUUUUUGAUUUUUCGAAAAUUAAAAUACAAAACAAAAGGAAAAUAUUUUUGGUAUUUUUGAUUUUUCGAAAAUUGAAAGACUAAACAAAAGUAAAAUAAGAAACAAAACACACGAAAAAGACUUGUUGCAUUUUAUCGAAAAUUUGUUUGACCUCCUUGACGAAAAGAUUUUGAUCACUUUUGACGAAAUUUUGAGAAUUUAACGAAAAUUUUGCCCAAUAAUGAAUUUCACAUGUUGUCAAAAUCGAAAGGUGUUGAAGCGUUGAAUAUCAAUAGUAACCUCUGAACACUGAAUGAAAUUCCUAUGUAAACCUAUUCAACACCUUUGAAGCGACACUUUUGGCAUUUUAUUCCUUAGCACCAGGAAUAGAAUUUCCAUCAAUCAUUCCAAGAUUCUCACCAAUGAUUUUUCAUCUAACGUUUAUGUAAAAAUAUCAGCCAAUUGAUGGGUUGUUUUUACAAAAUGAACUUCUAUAUUACCAUCCCUCACAUGAUCCUUUAUGAAAUGGUAACGAAGAGCUAUAUGCUUAGUUUUUGAAUGUUGCACAGGUUGUGACAAAUACGAAUUGCACUUUGGGAAUCACAAUAUAAUGGUAUUUUCUUCAUAUUAAUUGCAUAAUCACUCAAUUGACUUUGAAUCCAAAUAAUUUGUGAUGUACAAGCUGCAACAACAACAUAUUCUACUUUUUCUAUGGAAAUCGAAUCACAUGUUUGCUUUUUCGAUUGCAAGCUUACCAACUUCCCAUCAAACAAUUGACAUCUGCCACUCGUGCUUUUUUUUAUCCAACCUAAGUCAGUAUCCAAAAAUGCUUGAAUGAAGAAUCCGAUUUUUGAAGGAUACCACAAUCCUAACAAAAUUGUUCCUUUAAGAUAACGAAAGAUAUUCUUGACUGCAGUAAGAUGUGGUUCUCGUGGAUUCGAUUGAUACCUAGCUUAAUUACAAACAGAAAGCAUGAUAUCAGGUCUACAUGCUGUGAGAUAAAGUAACAAACCUAUCAUGCUUCUAUAAAGAGUCAAGUCAACAACAAUUUUAUCUAACGAAGGUGUCAGCUUAGUGCUAGUUGCCAUUGGUACUCGUAACUUUGUGCUAUUCGUCAAUCAAAUUUUUUUGAGAAAACUCUUGGUAUAUUUUUCUUGGUUGAUAAAAAUUCCUUCUCUGUUUUGAUAAAUAUUCAAACCAAGAAAAUUAUAAAUUUUUCUCAUCAUACUCAUCUCAAAUUUACUUUUCAUCAAAUUUUCGAAUUCAUUAGGCAAAACAGUGUCAGUAGAGCCAAAAAUAAUAUCAUCAACACAAAUUUGAACAAGCAUUAGAUGAUUCCUAACUUUCUUUCGAAAUAAUGUGGGAUCAAUUGAUCCUUGUUUAAAUUUCAAUAGUUUCAAGAAUGAAGUAAGAGUUGCAUACCAGGCUCGUGGUGCUUGUUUUAACCCAUAAACCGCCUUAUCUAAAAUAUAACAAUAAUCAUGAUGUUCUUUAUUUAUAAAACCUGGGGGUUGGUCCACAUACACAGUCUCUUCCAGCUCUCCAUUCAAAAAUGCACACUUUACAUCCAUUUGAUAGACAUCGAAAUAUUUGUUAGCUGCAUAAGCCAAAAAUAUUCGAUCUGCCUCGAGUCUUGCGACAAGGGCAAAAGCUUUUUCAUAGUCUAUUCCCUCUUGUUGUGAAUAACAUUUUAAAAGAAGACUGGCUUUGUUUCGAAUAAUGUUUCCAUCCUUGUACGUUUUAUUUUUGAAAAUCCAUUUUAAUCCAACAAUUGAAACAUCUAUUGGCUUUGGAAUUAACCUCCAAACUUUGUUUCUCUUGAACUCAACUAAUUCAAAUUGCAUUGCAACAACCCAAUCUGAUGGUUCCAUUGCAAACUUAACUAUCUUUGGUUCGAUUUUCGAAAUAAAAACAUUAAACAUACAAAAUUCUUGAUGAGUAUUUAGUACCUCAUUAUUUGCACGAAUCAGAGCUCUAGUCAAAAAUCCAUCUUGUGGAUUACCAAUGACUUGUUCUUUUGGAUGAACCCUUGUCCAUUUUUCUAGUGGUGGAUAUGCUGGAUCAAAGUCUAAAUGUACAUCUUCGUAUAUUUCUUCAUUUUCAGAACCUGCAACAGAAAUAUCAUCAUUAGUUUCGUGAAACUCAUCAUUUUGAUCAAGAAUUAUUGUAUCAACAUCAUUAUGUCCAUUUUCAUCAUUAUUAUCAUUCUAAUGCUCCCCCUCAAAACUUCCAUUCUUCCCCUCGAAAGAAUGCUCCCCCUCAACACUUGAAGGUGUAGACAAGUGCCCCCCCCCCCUCCACUUGUGCAUCUAUCAUACUUUCGCCAUUAGCAUGUGAAGAUGUUAUGUCGGUCGAAACAUCAGAAUGUUUCGAAGAUUCAGGGAUUUGAUUAUCUUUGGCAUUGACUUCAACAUGUGCAUCCCCAUCUGGAACACCAAAAAUUAAUCAUAAUCAAAAUCAGACGAAAUAGAAAGUUAGUCUCAUCAUUUGAUUCAUUAAGAAUUGGUUUUUGUUCGAAAUAUUUUUCAACUUGUUUCACAUAAUAAUCAUCAAAAGUGAGAUUAAAUGUUUCUUCGAGUUUUCAUGUUUCCUUAUUCAAUACUCUGUAUGCAACUGAAUUAUGUGAAUAUCCCAAAAAUAUUCCUUCAUCAGCCUUAGCUUGAAAUUUCGAAAUAUUAUCCUUGAGAUUCAUUAUAAAGCAAUUGCAACCGAACACACGAAAUAAUUUAACAUUCGGUUUUCAGUUAUUUAUAAUUUCAUACGGAGUGAUAUUGAAACGAAGAUGAAUAAAAGAAUGAUUCUGAGUAAAACAAGCUGUCGAAACUGCUUCUGCCAUAGGUAUUGAGGUAAAUUCGCAUAUGUCAACAUUGUUCUUGCAGCAUCGGACAGAGACUUAUUCCUUCGUUCAACCACACCAUUUUGUUGUGGUGUAUAUGGUGAUGAAAAAUCAUGCAAAAUUCCUUUUUCAGUUAAGAAUGAAUCCAACACAUUAUUUUUAAACUCAUAACCAUUAUCACUUUUGAUUUGUUGAACAUUCUUUUUCAGACUUGUCUUGAUAAAAUCAAUCAUUAUUUGAGCGACUUCAGAUUUUAACCUGAGAAAAUACACCCAAGUAAAUCGUGAAAAAUAAUCAACAAUAACCAAAAUGUACCGUUUCUUGUUGUGAGUUUCAACAGUUGAUGGUCCACAAAGGUCAAUAUGAAGAAGUUCCAACGGUUCAACAAUUUUCGAAUCUAUCACAAUUGGAUGUCCUUUCCUAUGCUGUUUUCCUUGUUCGCAAGCUGCACAUAAAGUAUCAUUGUCAAAUUUUAAUACUGGUAACCCACGAAGAAGAUCAUCAACAACCAACUUGUUCAAAUUUCAAAAGUUUAGAUGUGAUAAAAUACGAUGCCACAACCAGCUAACAUCAGAUGAAGCUUUUGAAAGUAAACAAACUGAAGGUUUCCUAACAAUAGGUUUUAUGUCAAAAGUAAACAUAUCGUCAUAUCAUUUUGGUUUCAGCAACACUUCAUUCUUUUCAACUUUUGAAAUGAUACUUCCUUCUUCAUUAAACACAACUUGAUUUCCAGUGCCCAUAACGAGUUGUGAAACACUUAUCAAAUUAUGUUGAAGACCUUCGACUUAAGCAACACGAUUUACAGUGAACUGUCUAUUCGUUACUUCGCCGUAUUUCACUUUACAUUUGUGAUUAUUCCCAAACUUCACAACACCAGCAUUCUCUAAACUUCGAUAAUCUCUUAGAUUCUCCUUUCUUCUAGUCAUGUGAUGUGACAACUCGAUAUUUCGAAUCAAUGUAAUGACCUAAGAAGUUAAGAAUUGUAAUCUCUUUUAAUAUAAUGAAAUUAUCAUCAAAAAUAAAAUGUUCAAAAGUCUCUACUAGAUUUCAUAAAUGAUAGAUAUUGUGUCAAAGGUUUUAGAAAUAUAAAGAACACUAAAAUCCGAGUUAUAACGAAAAAGUUAUGACCAACCUAAGAUUUAGAGCAAAACUGUCAAUACAAUUAAACGUAAAACGAGAAAUUUCAAUAAAAUACUUAUUAGCCUUAGGUAUCUAAAUAAAAGUCGUAGAUAUCAUUAAACCGUGAACAUACAUAAAAAGAACGCACAAAUCUGACUUCGUGUGUAGAAUUUAUGAUUUUUCAAAAUUUCGGGACAGCGGUAGACAGCUAAAAACUCGAAAUAGAGAUCGAGCGAUAUUUAGCUGAAACAACUUAAAUAAGAAUCGAAGAUCUCAACAAUAUUAGUGCAACGAUAAAAAGUUUGACGAAAACGAACAUCGGAUGAAGAAGUUAUGGAUUUUUAACGGACUUUUCAUGUCCCGGCUGUUAAAAAUGUAUUAAUAAAAAUAAAAUAAAAUUAGCCAACAGAGUCUAAAUGAAAGUUGUAGAGUACAUUCUCACCUACGCGUGGAUAUAAAUAACACAAAAAAAACGGAGCUCGUACGCGAAAGUUACGCAAUUUAGAAGUUCGGAAAACUCAAUUACGCCCCGCGUACCAGAGGAUAGGAACCUCGUCCCAUCGGCCACAGGCUCUCCCAUCGGACCUUCCAUCCGAAGUACAUCAUGCAUGACGUAUGGUACGCCCAGCGUAAUCCGAAGGUACGCCCCGCGUACCGAGGGUUUCCAGCCCCUAUAUAAAGGCUGCGAGGGUUCCGGGCAUAAUUGCACAUUUUCUCUCCUUUUCUUGCGUUUUUACCCCGUUUUGUGUGCAAGGAAUAUCCCGAAGUCCUGGUUUUCAUACCCAAGUCCCGAAGGAAGUUUUACGCUCCCGAGAUUCCCGAGAAUCCUGAGAAAUCUGCUUUCUCCUAUCGAAGUUUUGCUUGGUUUUUCGUCUCACCUUCUUCAAUCUAUCAAGUGAGUUCAUACCCCUAUAACUACGUUUUUAAACGUUUGGUAAAUACUUUUAUACACUUUUAAGAGGGGGGGGGGAUACAAGUACACACACACGGUUAUCCCCGUGUGAAAAACAUCAAUUUUUUGCUAUACUUUGGUUAUAUAAAUAUUAAACACUUUAUUUAUAUUUUGAGUAUAAACAUCCAAUAAUGUUAUUACAAAUGUUAUACUUUACAUACAAAGUCGACACUACAAUAGGGUUUAUCAUACAAACGAAUCACACACUUGGAAAAACUAUAAUAGGUAUAGUUAUUAGAUAUUCAUCGGAUUUUACAUACUAUAAGUACUAUACCAAGGAAGUACUUUCAUAUACAAGAACAAAUGGACUUUUCAUACAUAAAUCUAUUUGAUACUAAGUUUUGUGAGAUAUUCAAACUUCACGUACUUUCAAGUAUGCAGUUAAAGCCCUGUAUUAUAUACCAUAAUCUCUUAUAGGGAGAGCAUGAUACUUGUGUAUAGAUCUAUACGGGAUUGACAAUCCCGCACCUAAACUGUUAGCUAUAGUUAGACUGGCAGGUCUGGGGUGACAACCGUCAUAACAUUCCAACGCCUGAAGAACGUUGUUACAGGCAGUCUAGGUUAAUAGCAUGGUUAUAAAACUCACAUAAAGUAUUAAAAACAAGUUGAUUUACGGGGUUAUCAAAUGCCUUAGUGAUUUUAUACAUAUAUAAAUCAAAUAUUUUGGGCAUAAAAACACUAUUGCAUUAUAGUUUUGGAACUUUUAAACUACCACACACUUAUGGAAAAAUAUUGGAUAUCUAGAAGCAAACAUUUAAAAUAGUCGGGUCUUGGUAGAAGACUACUUUUAUACUAGUAGGAAAUAUGGAAUUUUCUAGGAGUUUUCAAACAUCUACAAACAAUUUCAUUCAAAUAUUAUACAAACAUUGACAUUAAAUACUUAUGAACUCACCAACUUAAAUGUUGAUCUACUCUUUCAAAUAUACAUAAAUUUCUCAGGGAUUCAGUAAUACAGGUAAACCUCAGCUUUUGGAGAAGUGACGCUAAGGCGUCGGUUUAAAACUCAUUUUUGUCAUCAUAUUGUAAUUUGUUUUGAAACAAGUAUCUUUCAACAAUGUAACUUUUAAAUUGUAUAUAUGAUGGUUGAUUUUACUUUCUUUACUAUGUAUUCAACUGUUACGAUACUACAUGAAGUCAUCCGCCCUCAAACGAUUCCGCCGUUCUAGUUUGGGGGUGUGACAUAUUAGUAUCAGAGCAUUGUUUAUAGUGAACUAAGUAUAUAUCGAACCACAUAAGAUAUACAAACUAUAAACGCAUAGGGACUAAAACUCUCUUACAAAAUGUUUUUACACCUGAACCGUGUUUCAUUUAAAUUAAAUUAUUUGGGUCAUAAAAGCACAAAUACAUGCAUACAAGGAUUCAUUUUCAUAAGUUAGAACUAUACAAUAAGUAUUAAGACAAGUUGGUCACUACGACUAGGCCUCGGAAUAUGUAAUCGGGUUUGGGACGAAUAUAGCCUGAUCAACUAUAUUUAUCCAAGAUCAGACUAAUGUAUAACGAGGAAUGGUCGUAGUGAGCAACAAGUCAAAACUUACCAAAAUAACACUAGUAUCAAACAUAAAAAUUUAAAUAGUAUAGGAGUAUUUGGUAAUUACAAUAGUUUAAGCUACAUGUUUUAAAUUUUAGACAAUUCUCAUAUCUCUAUUCUCGUACAGUCGAAAUGGCUAGAUUCUAUCCACCCGGAGAUCCCUACCACCCGAAUCAAGGAAAUGGAGGAUGGGUAGAGGAGGACCCCGAAGAAGAUAAGGAACCUAUAGAGUUUGAGGAAGGGGAAGACUCUGGGACAGACUCAGAGCCAGAUGUAAUCAACCCACUAGUUGCUCAACCUCCCGCAUUUAAGGGAAACUUUCAGGGACCAACUCCCAUUUGGGGAAGUCACAUUCACAAUUGGAGCCGACAUCAAGGAUUACGCCCUGCCUACGACAUGUGUCGGGACUUCUACGACGCCAGGGGCAGAGGUUUAGCCGACCAAGCACUCCCGAUCAUAGUGGGUAAACUAGCCAACCAAUCCUAUCAAUCCGAGAUUCAAGCAAACCAGAUUCGUGAAGUCAACGUGGAAGUACAAUUUCAUACUUCCAACAUCCAUCGUCUGGACAGGUUGCAGGAUAAUGCCCAACUCCACACCGACGCACUCCAUGAACAACUAAUUGCAGCUCUCUCCGAGAUAAGGGUAAUGAGGGAACAACAAGCCGCCUUUGAUAGGCGCCUUAUGGAAGCAAAGCAAUCAGACACGGAGUCGAGCUCCAAGCGCAACCUACGUCGCCAGUAGUACUUGCCCGAAUCCCAAAAUUUUGUUAUAGAAUAGGAAAUCGGCUAAAAGUCUUACUUUUCUUUAAUUUCUAUAUUGGAGACCCUUAGAAGGGUUAGAAUUUUCCUGACUUCAAAAUGUAACUCGACAUAUGUUUAAUAUAUAUAUGAAGAAAGUCCUUUGUGUGUUAAUUCUUUGAAUACCACUCAGAUUCAUAAGAUUAUCUAUGAUUCUGCAAACUUUUAUUAUGAAUCAAGUUCAAUACUUUUGGUAGGUCAAUCAAAUUCAUGAAUUGAUGAAAAUAGCUAAUUAACACAUGGCUCCUAAUCAUUAAAGACUUAUGGUCUUUAUUGUAUUACUUUAGCAGUGCAAUGUCGCCUCGUAGAUCUACACGCCAUGUCAACAACGCAACACCUCCACCACCACCACCUCCAUCAAUGGAUAAUGCCAUCUUAAUAGCUGCUGUAACAGCUGCAGUGACAAUAGAAAUGGCACAUAUGAGUAAUUAUGGGUCCGGAGGGGGAAUAAAUAGCUCUACAAAUGGCCAACAUCAGGGUUGUUCAGGGGAUUGCACCUACAAGGACUCCACCAAUAGCAAGCCCAUACCUUUUAACGGAUCCGGAGGGAUAAUGGCUAUAUCACAGUGGAUAGAGAAAACAAAAGCAAUCUUUGAGAUCUGUUCAUGUCUGGAAGGGAGCAAGGUAAAGUUUGUUGCCUGCACAUUCUCCGAGAGAGCUCUGACAUGGUGAAAUGGUCAUGUCAAGUCACUAACACUGGUAGUGGAAAAUUCUAUGGGUUGGGAGAAUCUAAAGCAAAUGUUAAUGCAAGAGUACUGUCCAAGGGGCGAAGUACAAAAUCUCGAGCAGGAACUUUGGGGCCUUACUAUGGUAGGCUCGGACAUCACAACCUAUACCAAUAGGUUUAGUGAUUUUGCAAUCCUUUGCCCGGGGAUGGUUGCUCUAGAGAUCAAGAAGAUCGAGAGAUACAUCUGGGGAUAGUCGCCCCAGAUUCAAGGAAGUGUACUAGCUUCCAAACCAGUCACUUUCGAUAAUGCCAAACAGUUGGCACAAGCUCUCGUUGACCAUGGAAUCUACCAAGGCUUCGCGACUGCCGUUCCGGAGCAACCCAUAGGGAACAACAACAACAACAACAAUAGUACCAACAACAACAACAACAACAACAACAACAACAACAACAACAACAACAACAACAAGAAGUUUUAGAACAAGAGAAAGGGUCAAUUUCCGCAGGAGCCUUCCAAGAAACAAGAGAUAGUGGCAGUCCAUGCCGCUAUAGCCCCCAGUGCUGUCCCUGUUACCCUUACACCAGCAAAGCAAUAUGCUGGGAACCUAACAAAGUGCAACAAAUGCAAUUUCCAUCACAACAGAAAUUGUCUGGAGAUGCACUGCAACAACUGCAACAGGAAAGGGCACACUGCCCAUUUCUGUAAGGCACCGGAACGACCAGUCACCCAAGUUUCUGGAGUCGGCGUUGGCCAGGCGUGUUAUGGUUGUGAUGCGGCUAGACACUACAAGAGAGAUUUCCCUAAGGCAAGGAAUGUUGGCGGCAUAGGAAGAGUGCUGGAAAUAGGGCAGAACGAAGCAAUAGCUGAUCCCACGGUGGUUACGGGUACGUUUCUCCUCAAUAACAAUUCUGCAUGCAUACUCUUUGAUUGUGGUGCGAAGAGGAGUUUCUUGAGUCAUAAAUUCAAACACUUACUAAAACAGAACCCUCAACCACUCAAUAAGAUAUUUACAGUAGAAAUGGCAAACGGUAGCACAAAAAACACAAACAAUAUGUACGUAGGCUGCACAUUAACUCUAAACGAACAUUCCUUCCAAAUCGAUCUAAUGUCUAUCACUAUAAGGAUCUUUGAUUUCAUCAUCGGUAUGGAUUGGUUAAGCCUGCACCAUGCCGAUAUACUUUGUCACGAAAGGGUCGUUCACCUUAAUCUGCCAAACGACAAAACUCUUGUCAUUUAUGGUGACAACCCCGGUACCAAUUUACAAAUCAUCUAUUGCGUCAAACCUAGAAAUACCUGCGUAAGGAGUACCAUGCCUUCUUAGCCCACAUGGUAGAUAAGGAAAAAGAAACAAAAGACAUCAAAGACAUUCCGGAAGUCUGUGAUUUUUCUGAUAUCUUUCCUGAAGAUCUUCCAGGAGUUCCACCAGAACGACUAGUCGAGUUUAGGAUUGAUCUAAUUUUCGGUGCUACUCCAGUAGCUAAGUCGCCGUAUCGUGUAGCGCCAAAUGAGAUGAGGGAAUUAUCCAGCCAAUUAAAUGAACUACUCAGCAAAGGAUUCAUCAGGCCGAGUUUCUCACCUUGGGGAGCACCAGUCCUAUUUGUAAAGAAGAAGGAUGGAUCUUUCCGCAUGUGUAUCAAUUACCGGGAACUCAACAAUCUCACUAUCUAGAACUGAUAUCCCCUACCACGCAUUGACGACUUGUUCGACCAAAUCCAAGGAGCAAGUUGUUUCUCAAAGAUCGAUUUGAGAUCCUGAUAUCAUCAACUGCGAGUCCUAGAAGGAGAUGUUCCCAAAACAGCCUUUCGAACUCGUUAUGGUCACUACGAGGUUGUAGUUAUGCCCUUUGGAUUAACAAAUGCACCGGCGGUGUUCAUGGACUUAAUGAACCGAGUGUGUCGUUCAUUCCUGGACAAAUUUGUGAACGUAUUCAUAGACGAUAUACUCAUCUAUUCGAAGAGUAAAGAAGUACAUAGUCAACACCUCCGACAAAUCUUGGAAACUCUAAGAAAAGAGAAGUUAUAUGCAAAAUUCUCAAAGUGCGAAUUUUGGAUUUGGAAGGUAGAUUUCUUAGGUCACAUGGUUAGCGAAGACGGGAUACAUGUGGACCCUUCCAAAAUCAAGGCAAUUGAGAACUGGUCAGCUCCAAGGACCCCAACAGAAAUCCGACAAUUCUUGGGCCUUGCUGGUUAUUACCGAAGAUUUAUACAAAACUUCUCGAAGAUUGCUAAACCCCUUACCACCUUUACCCAGAAGGGGGUGACUUUCAGUUGGGAGGAAAGACAAGACGCUGCAUUCCAAAUGCUGAAGCAAGCACUAUGCAGCGCACCUAUAUUGUCCUUGCCAAAAGGAACAGAAGACUUUGUGGUCUACUGUGAUUAAUCUAAUCAAGGUCUUGGAUGUGUUCUAAUGCAACGAGGAAAGGUCAUCGCUUACAUCUCGAUACAACUCAAGACGCACGAGGUCAACUACACUACACACGACCUCGAACUAGGAGCAGUCGUUUUCGCACUAAAGAUCUGGACACACUAUCUCUAUUGCACUAAAUGCAUAAUCUUUAUCGAUCAUAAGAGCCCUCAACACAUCCUCAAUCAAAAGAAACUCAACAUGAGGCAAUGAUGAUGUGUUGAACUGUUGAAUGACUACGAAUGUGAAAUUCGUGAUCAUCCAGGAAAAGCCAAUGUAGUAGCUAAUGCUCUUAGUCGAAAGGAAUACUCAGGCCGCUGAGUGAAAUCCUUAACCAUGACGAUCCGUUCACACCAGUCCACACAAAUCAAGGAGGCUCAAAGGGAAGCCUUGAAAACAAAUAAUGUGACGGGUGAAGCUUUAAGGGGAAUGGAUAAGAAUCUUGAAGUCAAGGGUGACGGAGUUUGUUACUUCGUGAACCAGAUCUGGACACCAAAGUUUGGUGGAUUCAGAGACGUGGUCAUGAAUGAGGCUCAUAAGACUCGAUACUCCGUGCAUCCUGUUUCAGACAAGAUGUAUCUAGACCUCAAGAAACUGUAUUGGUGGCCGAACAUAAAAGUUGAGAUCGCUACCUAUGUGGGCAAGUGUCUGAUUUAUGCCAAAGUUAAGGUAGAGUACCAAAAGCCCUUGGGAUUACUACAACAACCUGAAAUACCCGAUUGGAAGUGGUAGCAGAUAACCAUGGAUUUCAUAACCAAAUUACCCAAGACAACAGGUGGACUAGACACCAUCUGGGUCAUCGUCGAUAGAUUAACAAAAUCCGCACACUUCCUACCAAUAAAGGAAACCAACAAGAUGGAUAAGCUAACUCGAACAUACAUCCGAGAGGUUGUACCAAUGCAUGGUGUAACAAUAUCCAUUAUCUCCGACAUAGAUAGUAGAUUCACCUCGUGAUUCUGGCAGUCGCUGCAAAAAUCUCUAGGAACGAGACUAGACAUGAGUACCGCUUAGCAUCCACAAACCGACGGUCAAAGUGAGAGGACCAUACAAACCUUGGAAGAUAUGCUAAGAGCUUUUGUAAUCGAUUUUGGUAAAGCAUGGGAUACCCAUUUACCACUAGUCAAAUUCUCGUACAACAAUAACUAUCACUCCAGCAUUAAAAUUGCUCCAUUCAAAUCCCUCUAUGGCCGCAAGUGCAGAUCACCACUGUGCUGGGCUGAAGUGGGUGACACGCAACUAGACAAGGGACAAGUACCCGACAACACUCUCACAAGCUUGGAAAUCAAUAGCGAAACAACAGAGAAGACCAUUCAAAUUCAGGAACAACUAAAGGCUUGAAGAGACAGACAAGAGAGUUAUGCGGAAAAAAGAAGGAAGCCCUUGGAAUUUUAGGUUGGGGACUGAGUACUAUUGAAGGUCUCACCCUGGAAAGGGUUAAUACAUUUCAGAAAACGUGGGAAACUAAACCCAAGGUAUAUCGGACCAUUUGAGAUCCUUGCAAGGAACAGCCCGGUAGCAUACAAACUUCGACUACCACAGGAACUCAAUAACGUACAUCCUACCUUUCAUGUGUCAAACUUGAAGAAAUUUCUGUCCGAUGAGACCCUCGUUGUCCUUCUAGGCGAAAUCGAAAUCAACGAGAGUCUCCACUUUGUUGAGGAACCAAUUGAGGUCAUGGAUAGGGAAAUUAAAAGAACAAAACAAAGUGGCAUACCCAUUGUGAAGGUCCGUUGGAAUGCAAAGCGGGGACCUAGAUACACUUGGGAGCGCGAAAAUCAGAUGAAACAAAAGUACCUGCAUCUUUUUCACUAACCCAAAAAUAUUUACCUUACAUUUAAUUUCGGGACGAAAUUCCCACUAUCGGGGGAUGAUGUGACAACCCGAUAUUUUGAAUCAAUGUAAUGACCUAAAUAGUCAAGAAUUGUAAUCUCUUUUAAUAUAAUGAGAUUAUCGUCAAAAAUAAAAAGUUCAAAAGUCUACUGGAUUUCAUAAAUGAUAGAUAUUGUGUCAAGGGUUUCAGAAAUGUAAAGAACACUAAAAUCCGAGUUAUAACAAAAAAGUUAUGACCAACCUAAGAUUUCAUAGCAAGACAGUCAAUACGAUUAAACGUAAAACGAGAAAUUUCAAUAAAAUACUUAUUAGCCUUAGGUAUCUAAAUAAAAGUCGUAGAUAUCAUUAAACCAUGAACAUACAUAAAAAGAACGCCCAAAUCUGACUUCGUAUGUGGAAGUUAUGAUUUUUCGAAGUUUCGAGAUAGUGGUAGACAUCUAAAAACUCAAAAUAGAGAUUGAGCGAUUUUUAGCCGAAACAACCUAAAUAAGAAUCGAACAUCUGAACAAUAGUAGUGCAACAGAAAAAAGUCUGACGAAAACGGACAUCGGAUGAAGAAGUUAUGGAUUUUUAACGGACUUUUCCUGUCCCGUCCUGUUAAAAAUGUAUUAAUAAAAAUAAAUUCAAAAUUAGCCAACAGAGUCUAAAUGAAAGUUGUAGAGUACAUUCUCACCUACGUGUGGAUAUAAAUAACGCAAAAAACAGAGCUCGUACGCGAAAGUUACGCAAUUUAGAAGUUCGGAAAACUCAUUUACUCCCCGCAUAAUGAGUUACGCCCCGCGUACCACAGGAUAGGAACCACGUCCCAUCGGCCACAGGCUCUCCCUUCGGACCUCCCAUCUGAAGCGCAUGAUGCAUGACGUCCGGUACGCCCAGUGUAAUCCGGAGGCACGCCCCGUGUACCGAGGGUUUCCAGCCCCUAUAUAAAGGGUGCGAGGGUUCCGGGCAUAAUUGCAACUUUUCUCACCUUUUAUUGCGUUUUUACCCUGUUUUGCGUGCAAGGAAUAUCCCGAAGUCCCAGUUUUCAUACCCAAGUCCCGAAGGAAGUUUUACGCUCCCGAGAAUCAUGAGAAAUCCGUUUUCUAAUAUCAAAUUUAUGCUCGGUUUUUCGUCUCGCCUUCUUCAAUCUAUCAAGUGAAUUCAUACCCCUAUAACUACGUUUUUAAACAUUUUGUAAAUACUUUUAUACACUUUUAAGGGGGGGGGGGAAUACAAGUACACACACGGUUAUCCCCGUGUGAAAAACAUCAAUCUUUUGCUAUACUUUUGUUAUAUAAAUAUCAAACACUUUAUUUAUAUUUUGAGUAUAAACGUCCAAUAAUGUUAUUACAAAUGUUAUACUUUACAUAGAAAGUCGAAACUACACUAGGGUUUAUCAUACAAACGAAUCAUACACUUGGAAAAACUAUAAUAGGUAUAGUUUACUAGAUAUUCAUGAGAUUUUACAUAUUGUAAGUACUAUAUCAAGGAAAUACUUUCGUAUACAACAACAAAUGGACUUUUCAUACGUAAAUCUAUUUGAUACUAAGUUUUGUGAGAUAUUGAAACUUCACGUACUUUCAAGUAUGUAGUUAAAGCCCUGUAUUAUAUACCAUAAUCUCUUAUAGGGAGAGCAUGAUACUUGUGUAUAGAUCUAUACGGGAUUGACAAUCCCGCACCUAAACUGUUAGCUAUAGUUAGACUGGUAGGUCUGGGGUGACAAACGUCAUAACAUUCCAACGCCUGAAGAACGUUGUUACAGAUAGUCUGGGUCAAUAGCAUGGUUAUAAAACUCACAUGGAGUAUUAAAAACAAGUUGAUUUAUGGGGUUAUCAAAUGCCUUAGUGAUUUUAUACAUACAUAAAUCAAAUAUUUUAGGCAUAAAAACACUAUUGCAUUACAGUUUUGGAACUUUUAAACUACCACACACUUAUGGAAAAAUAUUGGAUUUCUAGAAGCAAACAUUUAAAACAGUCGGGUCUUGGUAGAAGACUACUUUUAUACUAGUAGGAAAUGUGGAAUUUUCUAGGAGUUUUUAAACAUCUACAAACAAUUUCAUUCAAAUUUUAUACAAACAUUGACAUUAAAUACUUAUGAACUCACUAGCUUAAAUACUAAUCUACUCUUUCAAAUCUACUUGUAUUUAUCAGGGAUUCAGUAAUACAGGUAAACUUCAGCUUUUGGAGAAGUGACGCUAAGACGUCGGUUUAAACCUCAUUUUUGUCAUCAUAUUGUAAUUUGUCUUGAAACAAGUAUCUUACAACAAUAUAACUCUGAAAUUAUAUAUACGAUGGUUGAUAUUACUUUCUUUACUAUGUAUUCAAGUGUUACGAUACUACAUGAAGUCAUCCUCCCUCGAACGAUUCCGCCGUUCUGGUUUGGGGGUGUGACAUGUGACGUGAGAAACCACUAUCGAUGUACCAUUUCUAAUCAUAUUGCUCGUCACAUAAAACCUACAAUUAAUGGAAAAUUUUAGGUACCAAAGGCUAUUUGGGUCCUUGGAAAUUAGCUUUAAAAACAUAAUGGAAUGAAGAUCCUUUAACCCAAUCACAAACUUUUGAUUUGAGACUAUCAAUUAAGUCCACAUCAUUAGUUAAAGGAACCGAAACAUUAGUUUUCGAUGGUUUAAGAUUGUCACUGACAUAAGCCAUCAACUUCUCAAUUUGUGUAUGAUCCUUCUUUUCUUUCGAAACUGGUCUCCAAGCCUUUACUGAAACAUUCACUUCUUUAGAAGACGAACUUCGAUUUGACAAAGUAUUUACUUACUUCUCAUAAGCUUCUCAUAUUUUUUGUUGAGAAAAGUUCCUAGACUGAUAUAUUCUUCCUUUUCCUUCAAGCCAAUUGUCAAAGUUUUUCUCAGGAGACAACCCUUUUGUGUAUGAAACUUUUAAGGUUUAUGUCCCUGAGGAUUUGCAAAAUUUGGUUUCUGUGGAAUAAAAUCAACAUUUGAUUUUGGAUGAAAAUUUUCAACUUUUCGACUUUGUACUUUAGUUUCCACAAUUUUAUUUUGAGAAAAUCGAUUUUUAAAACAUCUUCGUUGAUUUUGAAAUGAAUAUCGAUUUGUUAAAGGAUGAUUUUGAAAUCUCUUUCAAAUAUUAUUAAUAUUUUUGGAAAAUGUUGUAUUUUGAGCUUUCGAAAAAUUUGUUUUUGGAUAAUAUUUAAGACUUUGUUUUAUUUCAUAAAGCGGAAUUUUUCUUUUUGUCUGAAUAAGAGGACGAAGAUGUUGUCUUAUCAGAUUUAGACUGUGUUUUCAGAUGUUUUUAAUAUCGAAGCCUUUUGUUUCUUUCGAGACAACAGCUUGCCAGAAAAUUUUCUUUCGAGCUUGUCUUUUUGAAACUUCACAUGCUUUUGAAAAUUUGUUAAUUUGUUCUUUGAAUUCGUUUGAAUUUAAUUUGACAACCUUUUCAUUUUCCGCAACAACUUGUGUCGAAACUUCUCUCACAACUUUUUGUUUCUCAACCCAUUUCCGUUGAACUUUUUGUCUUUGAAAUGUGUAUGUAUUCUUUGUGAGAUUAUUUUCGAUAGUACUUUUAUUUGAAAAGAAUCCUUCCUCAUAUACAUGUUUGUUAUCUUCUUCAACCAAUUUGGCAAUCUCUGGUUUUAUGUUAUCGACAUUUCCUGUUGUCACAAACACUUGAUUUAGAAAUACAACUUUGUCUGAGCUUUUGAAGUAUGGAUACACUGUAUUGGUUUCAAGAUAAUGAGUACCUUUUUAAGUUAUCACUUUGUCGAAUUUUUUAGAAUCUCCAUACACCUGAUCAACAACAAUUUGUGGAAUUGUUGUUUUUUUCGAAUCUUUGUUUGCUAAGAUGUUUUUGUGUUAAAAUUCUCCAUCAUUUUCAUCAUCAUUGCUAUCAGUCUGACUAUCUUUUACAUACACAUAAUCAAAAUCACAAGCAUUCAAAGUUGAGGGUUUGUCAAUGUCAAUCUUAACCAAUGAAUCCUCACAUUUUUCUUUUCCUUUAGAUUUUGAUGUAAUAUUAAUGACAAACAAUUGAGAACAAUCAACAUCCUCAAUAUCACUAAUUUCACUAUAUUAUCUUAAUUAUCUUCAAUAUCAGCAAAAUUAGAUUGAUAAUUAGAUGUCAAAUUUCCAGUCUUUUUCAAAAUUUUGAUUUGCUCAUUUUUGGUUAGAGUAUCAUUUACAAUAUUAACUAAUUCAUUUGAAUCCAAAUAUUCGUCAAUUUUUACAAUUCCAUAUGCAUAUCUAUCAUCAGGUAUUUUGUCACACUCUGCUAUUGUUUUCUCACAAUCAUACGAAAUGUUAUCAACCUUCUUUCUCUCAUAUGCUACAAAAGGCAAUAACUUUCUAUGUUGUUCCUUGCUAAUAUCAGACGAAUGAUGUAAUUCAGUAAGUUUAGCAUAAAGUUGUUUAGCAGAAUUACAAUAUAUGUUGCUUUAGGCUAACAAUAGUUUUACAUCACUACUUAGCGAAUCCCUAUCACACAUAAUAAUUGUAACCUGCAUUUCUAAACACUCGAUUUUGAUUAUUUUUAAUCUAGUAGCUUCUGGGCCUCUAACAACUGCAUGUUUAGUUUGUUAGCUUCGUUACUAGCUAACACCACAAUUGAAUCAAAGUAAGCAACAGUAUCAUCAAAAGCAAUUAUUUCUGAAUCAUAAGCACUUAAAGGAAUAUUGAAGGAUUGAAGAAUAGAAGUUACCUUGGUAUUCAUUGGAGAUUUAUCAGCACUUUUGGUCAUGAAACAAUGACUAGUCACCUCUUCGUCAGAAUCUUCCUCCAGCUUCGCGAACAUUGCUCCAUGCGUAGGAUUCCACAUCUCUUCAUCAUUAGAUCCUGAUGACCAGAUCUAGUAUGUGCCUUCUUCCUCACUUUCACCUUUAGCAACCAAAGAUAAACCUUUCACCUUAGUACGUACCUCUUCCAACUUCUCAGCAUAGUUUGCUUCGUCCUUGACCUUAUUCUUUUUUCAUCCUUCUUAUGAAGCAAGCAAUCAUUUUCCAAAUAGUUUGCUCUGUUGUAAUAAUCACAAUCAAUUCCUGAAUUAUCCUUGAGUUUCUUCUAAACUUUGACCUCAUUCGCCUUCCCAUCAUUCUUCUCAAGCUUCUUCUUCUCUUCUCCCACAGACUUGUUAACAAAACUUCCUUUCCCUUCACUCUGCUUCACCUUAGGAUUAAUCGGUUUCUUGAAAAACUUUUUGACUCUGUUGUUUGAGUAAAAAGAAAUUGCCUCAUCAUCAUAAUUCAUGAUAAACCCUUCUUCGUCAUCAGAAUUAACUUUUUCAACAGCUUCUUUUUCAGAUACUCUCGAAACAAGAGCUAAUGGUCCUCCAAAACUAAGCUUCGACUCUUCAACAAUCUCGUUCACUUCAGUUUCGUGAGUUUUCAACUGAUUAUACAAAUCAUUCAAAGAUGAAGUAUCGAAACUUUGUUGAUUCUUCACCAUCAUGCUUACAGUCCUCCAUUCCUUACGGAGUCCCAUCACAAAGUGAGAUUGAACUCCAUAGCAGAACUCGUGAUUCCAUAACGAUUUCAUCUAUAGAUCAGUUCAUUAAGACGAUCAUAGUAAACUUCAAUUGAUUCAUUUUCUUUUUGUCUAAACGCUUUCAACUCCACAAGACAUUUCUUAACUGAAUUGAUCUUCGUCUUCUUGCUUCCCUGAUAUUUUUCCUUGAGAGUAUUCCAAAUCUCCUUUGUAGUUUUACAACCACGAAUGUAAUUGUAAACAACUGGUGGCAAUGCACCUCGCAAUUCUCUCGAACAGCGUUUUUCAUGUUUCUUCAUCCUGGUGGAUUGUUCAUCAACAACAGGUGUUGAAUUAGAAGAUCCAAUAUUUUGAACAUUCAACAGAGGUUGAGCAAUUCCUAUGAUGCAACUCCAAAGUUCCUCAUCCAAUCCAUUUAGAUUGUCCUCCAUACGAUCAGCCCAUUGAUCGUAAUAUUCCGGAAUCAACAUAGGAAUCUUCAUAGAAGAUCCUAACAGAUGAGAGAAUGAAGUCAUCGUGUUCAUGUUGAAAUUCUCCAUGAACGUAUAGACGAGAUUUUUCAGAAAAACUUGGAGAAAUUUGAAUUUGAAUGAAUAAAUCGAUCAGAAACUCAAAAUCAAUUACUCGAUUAUGCUAAUCAAAUGAAAAAUCAAAUCAAAACUGUAGAUCAGAGAUGAUUUUCUGAAUCAAACAGUGUGGAAACUUUUGACACAAAGUUGUGACUCAAAAACUUAGAGAUUCAACAGAAAAUCAGAUCGCAGUAAUGAUUCCUGCUCUUAUACCAAUUGAUGAAGUGAUAAUCAAGUAUAUGAAUGAAAUCAGAUUAGAAUCAAUAUAGUUGAACACAAGAAGUAAAUAUGAUCUGGUUUUAGCUCAAUUACUUCCAAUGAACACGAGUUACAAAAUGAUAGUAAAAAGGAUUAACACCCUCUAUCACUCUCUAACUCUUACCAUCUACUCAAUGUUCAACUCCUAUUUAUAGGAGAUUGAAAGUAAAAAAAAAAAAUACGAAGGCUUAGACAUUAAGCUUCAAAAACAUGACACCUUAGUAAAUACAUAACAAAACAUACGAAGAGUACAAUUACCCAGACUUCGACAUAUUAUAAGAUAUUUCAACCUUACAAAAUAAACCCAAACUAUGGUCCCUAAAAAUUUAAGAUCAAACACAUGACGUAUAUUGUGUAAAUUAAAAUUAUUUCAAAGAAAAAUAAUGAAAGGAUAACCCACACACCUCUUUAGUACAAGCAUAGAAAACCCAUCCAAGGUUAUUUCUAGUCGUUGAUGUCCUUAUAAUACCUUGAGAUCCAUGAUCGUAGUAUGCCAUUUCUUUGGAUUAUGAGAAAUGAAGUUUUAGUUAGUAAAUUUAACAAGGUAAAGAGUUUAGACACUUGAAUUCCUUUAUAUAAUGGCAUUUACUAUGGUCACCGAUUCCGGAUACUAUUCCAGAGAAACAUUCUAGAGCCACACUUGGAAUUUCUAUUUUGGACCCUCGUUCCGGACAUUGCUUUUAUACCUUAAAAUGCACCUAUGAUGCAUCAUCAUAGGCUUUAACCCUAUAUUCAUAGCCUGCACUAUGUGUUGUCAUUCAUAAUAGGAAUUUUCAUAGAUUCCUAUCAUAUGUGUAAUCAUUUCAAACAAAAAAAGUCAUAGAUUCUUGAAAGUAUAUGUAUUCAUUCCGAACAGUAAAUGUCAUAGAUUCUUGACACUAUUUCAGACCCUAAUUUUGGAACCACAUUUUGGAGCUACAUUGUGGAAUGGCUAUUUUGUACCUUUGUUCCGAACGUUGCUUUUGUACCUUAAAAUGCACGUAGCAUGCAUCCUAUACAGUAGCCUACACUAUGUGUCGUCAUUCGAAACAGUAAUUGUUAUAGAUUCUUUACAGAUGUAUUAUACAGUCAUACUGAACAAUAAAUGUCAUAAAUUCCUGAAAGUACAUGUAGUCAUUUUAUAAAGUAAAAGUCAUAGAUUUCUGACUAGAUUUUGGACCCUCAUUCUAGAACCGCAUUCUGAAGCCACAUUCUGGAAUGACUACCUCGGGCCCUUGUUUCAGACAAUGCUUUUGGACCUUAAAAUUCACUUAGCAUACACACUCAACAUAGAAAAAAAUUAGAAUGAGUUCAUCUUAUGAUGAUGUUUAGCAUUGUGAAGAAGAAGAUUGUUUUGUUCAUUCAAAUAAUACCUGUUUCCGAAAGACCCAUAUUUCCCACUCCUAGAUAAAAUGCAUGAAGACGUUUUCCAAACUAUGAAGGCUGCUGAAGAAGUAAACAACAGGGACUUCUAAAAGAAGUCGCACACUAAAUCAACAUGUAGACGCUCUAGUAGAAUAAGUAAAUGAAAAAGAAAAAUGGAUUGUUGAAGUUAUGAAAGAAGUGAAAUAAGCUAAGAAGUGGAUUGAAGAUGAAAAUGCGGAGAUUAAUAAGCUUCGCACAAAACGGGACCGUCUAAAAGAUGUUAUAAUUAAAGGAGAUUUUAUUGACAAUGAACAAAAUAUAUAUUACUUAUAAUUUCCUAAUUUGUGGAAACUAAUCUAAGUAUGUAUUAUGAUUUAUAACGCUUUUUACAAUAAUGUUAAUGAAAAUUUUUUCGUUUUAGAUAACCAUACCGUUCCUUUUACAGAAUUUAGUUUCAAAAGUCAUUACAAUUUCCAUAUUUAAAAUUAGAUUACAUUUAUUCCUGAUAACUGAGAACUUGUAUCCGAUGCAAACAAGUCGUGUCUAUAUGAUUUUUAAACAAUUCCAUGUAGGUCUCAAUUAGUUUGAAACAAUUAUCAGUCAAUUCAACUCGAUCUUCCAUUAUUGGAGUUGUCCUACGUGUUUCUUCGAUGAUGUCUAUUAUGUUUACAAAUUGUCGUAUAUCUUCAGACAUUGUAAUGAGGAGCAUUUGCAUGUUAUACAAUGCUACUUUUCUCUGCUCCUUAGUCGGUGAAGGUGGUAAUAAAAUUUAUAUUAUUACCAUUCAUUAUUUUGCAUGUUGAUAAUCACGAAUCAUUUCUAAUGCAGCUGUAUCAACAAGACGUCGUUGCUCGUCUUCAAUACAUGGUAUAUCAUACUCCAUAGGCAACUCAUCCUCGUCGUUUGAGUCUCUAGAUGUUUGAGACUGAAAAUAAAGUAUACCUAAAUUUUAUUAAUAUACUAUUUAAAAACCAACAUGCAUAAAAGUAUUUAAUACUCAUAAAAGCAACUUGUCGAAACAUAUACAUAACAAAAAAUACAUAACUACAACUAAUCAAUUAUAAUAGGUUUGUCUGCACUUGCUCCGGUCUCAUCUUUCAGAGUUUUAUCUACUUUCAAUUUAAGUUUUAACACCCUUUCUGAUUUAUUACUUAAUUUUAUAGAUGCCUUUAAAGGUUUUUUUUAAUUUUAUUUUGAAGCUCAGCAUCUUGGUUUUUUAUCUACAAAAACAAAAUUGCAAGAACAUUUUAAUACAUUACCGUAAAAAUAAAUUAAAAUUAUAAAAUUUUUGUUUUUUGAUUUUACCUUUAUCGGACGCUAUUCCUAAAGUUGUCCAUAAAACCCACUUCUUUAACAACAUCCAUGCAAACUCAUCUUCGAACUAACAUGAGUUAUUAAACAAUAUUUAGAAAAAACUUAUAAGUAUAAUUAUUCUGGAUUGAUAUUUCAUAACAUCAUUCAGGAAUAGUUCAUCGAGUUUCAGACCACGUUCUUCGUGUUCCGUACUUACAUUACCAUACUGAAACCAUAAAAUACCUAAGUUUUCACUAAAACAAGAUACUUCAAAUACAAGACAAAGUACUUACAUGAGAUUCAUACACGUACAACGAGAAAAACAUAAAAAAGGAUAAUUCGGAAUCGAUAAUAGUAUUCCGGAGUCGUUCCUUGUAUUCCAGACCAUUUUGGAUUACGUAAAUCAUUUUAUAAAAUCAAAUGCAAAGUAACUUACAGAGUAAAACUUACUUGGUUUGACGAAAUCAUGUUGAAAAUUAGGUCCAAAAUGCGAGUAGAUCGUGGUUCGGAUUUGCAAUUUCCGGAACGAGUAUUCCGGAUUUUUGUGUGUGGGACCUAUAUAUAUAUAGACACACACACACACACCAUUGGGUCCGAUUUUUUGAGCUAUGGGGUUCCUUUUAUAGUUGAGGCUCCUAGGGUUUACAACUUGGAAACCCUAAUUCCAUUGCUUAGGCCCUAAGCAACAUAUGGAUCCCCAUAUGGAAUGCCUUGGAAGAAAUUAUAUGGGCUCACCAUAGAUUUUCGUCCAUCCUAUGCCAAUAGGAUCCAUUAGCCCAAACUACAAAUAUUACUUAUUUACAUAAUCAGUCCCCGUCAAUUUAAUUAGUCUCAUUUAAUCACUAAAUUAAUUUCAAAUUAAUUUUUGAUCAGUACUAAUCAAAUAUUAUGAUUUCUCAAUUAAUAUACUAUUCUUAUAGUCGUACAAAACACAUCUUCAUUACCAUUUGUCCUUGUCAUGGUUUGUGGCAAUCUAAUUUGUUCGUAAUAGGAUCGAGAUCUACACUCAUUUGUUCAUGAUAAUUUGAAAUUUCAAAUAAAUAAUUGGAAAUGAUGUCAAAAUGUAACAAAAACUAGCACGACCAACAUCUCAACAUAAGAUUUGACCGCUCUUAUUCAGACAAUUACAUUCAAGGUGUCAUACAAUUACAUAAAAGGCCCAAAUGCAAAUUGCAAUUAUAUGUUGAAUUUCGAAUUUCACUACAAAAUCAUUAAGAUCUUCAAUAAAAUCAUAUGUUCAUUCUUCAAUAUCAUUAGAAAGUUGAAUUUACUUCAAUUUCAAGAGCUCUAACAUUCUAGUAACAUCUUUAGAAGAUCAACAUGCUUAUAAUUUGCUAUCUAUUCCACUUUGGAAUCUACAAACCUGCAAUUUUAAACGUGGAACGAUCAAUAUAUAGAUAUAUAUAUAUNUAUUAUUGAAGAAAAACAAAAUUCUUGAAUCAGAUGUUGAAAAAUAACAAACAUCAUUAUAUCAUUAUAUACUUAUAAAUGAAGCAUUUUUCUAAGCACCACAUUCAUUUGAAACUCCCAUUCAUUUUUCCUUUCACCACAUUCAUUUGAAACUCCCAUGACUUUUCAAUUUCUUUCUAAUAAUGAUUAUAAACUAAAGUGUAAUCAUAUAUAAACUAAAUUCUAAUAUUAAAAGAAUAUAUUUUCUUCAACUUAUAAAGCUAUGUUUUUAACUUUUAACAUAUUAUACUUAAUUUAUUAGGUCUAAUAUGUUGUUGUAUAUAAACCAUUAUCAUUUUAAAACUAUAACUUUCGAAAAUUUGUAUAAAAUACUUAAAUUGUUAAUUUAAAUAUAACCUUACAUGAUCAACUUAAAUAUAAAUUUUAGUUCAACUUAAACAACCCAAAGAAUACUUUACAAAUAGUUAAAAGUGAUAAAUUAUAUUGUCUUUCUAACAGUGAUUACAAGUUGGUUAAUAAGGCUAAAUAAUUAUCAAAACUAAAGUGAAAUCAUAAAUAAACUAAAUUUCAAUAUUAAAAUAAUAUUUUUACUUUUACUUAUAAAGUUAUGUUUUAACUUUUAACAUAUUAUACUUAAUUUAUUCGAUUUAAUAUGAUGUCGUAUGUAAACCAUUAUCAGUUUAAAAUUACAACUUUUAAACAAUUUUGACAAAAUACUUAAAUUGUUAAUUUUAAUAUCACAUUACAUUGUCAACUUCAAUAUAAAUUUCAGUUCCACUUAAAAAAUUCAAAGAAUAUUUUGUGAAUAGUUAAAAGUGAUAAAUUGUAGCUCUAAAUGUAAAAACUAAAUUGUAAUGUCAAUUUAACUAAAAUAUUUCAUGAAUAUACUUUUAUAAUCGUCAAAAGUUUUCAAAUUAAUAGCUUAAAAUAACUUACAAUAACAAUAGUUAAAAAUAACUCUAUACAAAUGAUUAUAUUGUUACUUUUAAAAUUAAAAAAAAAUUGUUUGAUGUUUUAAAUAAUUACAAUGAUAGAAAUUAAAACGUUAAGCAAAUAAUAAAUUUUAAAAAAUUAAUUAACAAUAACAACUAUAAAUAAAAUUAAACCAUAUAUUAUAUUUAAUUUUAUUCAUGAGUAACUCGCGGGUAGAAGUCAUUUAGACAAUUGAUAUUAUGCAGUUAUAACAGAUGUAUAUAUUAUCAUAUAAUUCAAAAUAAUCAAUAUAUUAUUACAAUUUAGUAUACAAAUUAUUAUAUCAAAUUAAACAACGUUAUUGUUAUAUUUUAAAAAAACAUAUAUUUAUAAAUAUUUCAAUUAAAUAAGUCUUUCUGUGCAACGCGCGGACAUUCGCUUAGUGUAAAUAUAGAGGUGUUUACAAAGAAAAAAUACUUAACUUGCGAACUCUCUAUCCUUCCUUCCGAAUUUUCAAGNUUUUUAAACGGUACAAUUACAAAAAAAAACAUAUUUAAACUAUUUAAUUAAAUAUUUUCAACAUCACCCUAUAUAACAAAUGAUCAAUAUAUUAACGAUUAAACCACAGUAUACAAUCACUGUAUUACAAUAAUCCAAAAAUGAAAAAAAUAUAAAAACGAAUUAGUAUAACAAACUUAAAAAUUAAAAGAUCUAAUAUAAUAUCAUAUCUGCAAAAGUGGUCAUAAGAGCUCAACCCAACACAAAAGCCUUAAGUUUGUUUUCUUUCUGAAAUUUGUAUAUGAUUUGUGUGCAUAUCUUCCAAAAAGAAUGGUCAUUUUGUCGUAAACUUUUCACUCAAUGCUAAUUAAACAUAAUAUAAGUUAUAAAACUUUUGAGUGUUAAAUCAUAAUUAAGAAAACUUUUGAGUUGCAUUAGUUAAAAAAGGGGGUUUCAAAUUAGUGUGGUUUGAGGAAGUUAAAAAUGGGGGUUUCAAAUGCAUGAGAUUCAACAAAAAAUGGUAGCUUUAUAAGUAUGUAUGAUAUGAUAAUGAUAAUGAUAAUGCUAGCUUUAAAUGUUGAAAAAUAUAUGUUUAAAAUGGUUAUGUUAUUGACAUUAACUUUUACAUAAUAUUUUGAAUAAUAUUAUUCAUUGACAUCAACCCAUAUUCCUCAUUAAUAAAAUUAAAUAUAAAUAUCAAUUUACUAUUAUUUUUAACAAUUUUUAUGAUUGAUUAAUUUAAAUUUUUACUUAUGCGAUUAUUUUCUAAUUUCAGUAAUGAUGUUCAUUUAAAAAACAGUUUAUUUGUUGUUAAUGAAAUGUAAUUUAUAAAUUGAUGUUAUUAUCAUUUAAAAUUAUUGUUCUUUAGUUUUAAACCACUUAUUAUUAUUAAUAAGUUAAACACGACUUUUAAGAAACACUUAGUAUUACUAUUAAAUAUGAAACAUACACUAAAUAAUAAACUAAUAAGAUAGUUAAUUUGCAUUUCAAAAGAGACUUGUAUAGAUAAUAUGACAUAUCCAAGAUUUUUAUAAUUUAAUUUAUUAUUUACAAUUAUUGUUCAUUAGUUUUAAAAGCUCUUAUUAUUAUUAAUAAGAAAAAGAGAACUUUUAAAAGACACUUAUUAUUAUAAUUAAAAUUUUAAACAUAUACUAAAUUGUAACAUUCCAAAAUCCAAGACCAAAAAUUUCAUUUUUUGUUUAACAAUUCAUAGAACAGAUUAUUGAAAACAUCAUUGAGUUAUCCCAUACCAUAAAAACUAUAAGUAAUACAUCUCAAAACAAGUCAUAAUAAUAUCAGAGUACGUAUCCCAAAAACAUCAUAGUGCGGAAAAUAGUGGUGUGAUGCGUUGCAGUCAUGCCGACUCCUUUCCCUUCGAAGAAGAAGUACCUGAACUCAAAAUCAAAAACCAUAAGCACAAAGCUUAGUGAGUUCCCCCAUCAUACCACAUACCAUACAAAAACAUACUGCCUAGCAUAUCUGGGUGCUGGUCUACCCCUUUGGUCUCUUUCAACUGGUAACCACCUAACAUAUCUGGGUGUUGGCCUACCCCAUCGGUCUCUUCCAACCAGUAUCUAGGGACUAUUUCACCCCUACCAAUACCACAUAAUAUCCUAGCAAAUACAUACUAUUCUCCUACUGCCUAGCAUAUAUGGGUGCUGGCCUACCCGGUCAGUCUGUUUCAGCCGGUAACCGCCUAACAUAUCUGGGUGCAGGCCUACCCCUCAGUCUCUUUCAACCGGUAAUCGGGGACUAUCCUACCCAUUAUAGCACUAUCACAUAAUGUCGUAGCAUACUAGCACAUAAAGCAAAACAGAUAGUGGCAUACCAAAUAAUUAUCACAAAUACGAUCAUCUCAACUAUAAUUAGCUACUAGUAGGCUAGCAAUGGUGCCUUCGGCCCGCUUCUACUAGAAGGUAACUCACCUCAAAUGUUGUAAAGUAGUUGAACUGCCCUCAGCUCUGCAAUCUGCCUCACGCAAACUGCUACACAUAUACAUUUCCUUUAAUUACCCUUUCAUGCUCAUACCUCUCUAAGGGUCAACUUUAGUCAAAGUCAAAGUCACGGUCAACACCCUGGUCAAAGUCAACACCUUGGUUGACUCAACUCGCUGAGUUCUAUAAAUCAGAAAACCCCGAAAUCGCUAUCCAACUCAUCGAGCUUCCCUCUAACUCGCCGAGUUCUUCCUUAUGAUAGAAUCAAGACUUUUCACUUCAACUCGUUGAGUCCUUCCUUGAACUUGUCGAGUUCUCCAAUCUUGAAAACCCAUAAGCGACGGCCAACUCACUGAGUCAUCUCCUAGACUCACUGAGUUUGCUUAGUAACAAAAAAGGUUGGGGGACCAUGACCCAAAUCGUCGAGUUCUCUUAGUCAAAAUCCAUUCAGUUACUUCCAAUCGAGUUUAAUUCUUCCAAACCAUAGAUCUGGUCCCUUAGGGAUAAUAUAUCACAUAAAGUUGAUAACUGUACACCCAUACAUGGUGUCAUGAAGCUAAAACACACCAAAUCUAAGCUUUAUAAGAGGUCUAUGGCAUGGAGAAGGGCCAAGACUUGAUAAAGCUGGCAACUUUAAGUCUUUUUAGGCCAUGGACAUCUAGAUCUGGAGUUAUAACUUUGAGACAUGCUCAUAUCCAAGAAUGGACCCCAAGUAAUCUACUAAAAACCCUAAACUUCUCAAAGAAGAGAUCUAUCAAAUAAAUAGCCAAGUUCUCGACUUUAUACCUUAAUAUGGCACACUCAACAGAGAAAUCCCUAGAUCCAAAGCAUGUCCCUUGAACCAAGCACCUUCAACUUCAACUCAUUCAAGAAAGCACCAAGGAAACACUCUCUUUACACUCACUCACACUCCAAAUGGUCUAAAAUCACGGAUUACGCUUUACUAGACUGAAGGGGAGAUAAGGGAGGCCACAAUGAAGCAUUAAGGUCUUUAAAUAGGGUGUAAAACCCUGAAAGUUCUGGUUUCAUUCUGGCAGCCCUACUCGUCAAGUUGAGUCUCUCAACUUGUCGAGUAGACUUUAAGAUCUGCGUCCAAAAAUCCAUUUCUACUCGAUGAGUUUGGGGCCUUCAACUCAUCGAGUUCCUACACAAAACUGAAUAAAUCGGAUUUAAAAUACAUACCACAAACUGGGCGUUACAAAUCUCCCCUACUUAUUUUAGAGUUCGUCCUCGAAGUCUUCUGCGUCUUGGACUAGCUCUGGGUAGUGCUCCCUCAUCUGAUCUUUCGGCUCCUAAGUCCAUUCCGAGCCCUUGCGGUGCUGCCAUUGCACCUUCACCAACUCUACCCUCUUGUUCCUUAGAUCAUUCGUCUUCUAGUUGAGGAUUGCUACUGGUUGCGCGAUGUAGUUCAGGUUGUCAUCUACCUAAAUAUCCUCUAAACGCACCACUGCAGAGUCAUCUACCAAGCACUUCUGUAGCUGGGAGACAUGAAAGGCGUUGUGGAUCUGACUAAGCUCAGCUGGCAGAUCUAGCCUAUACGCCACCUUGCCCACCCGGCUAUUGAUAGCUUUGAGCCACAAGAACUUUCCUAUGUGCACAUCCAAACCCUAAUGCUUGGAUCUAGGUUUCUCUAAUUGAACAUGCAAUGUAUCCAAGACAUUCAUUCAUAGAUCUAGUGUAAAAAACCAAUUCAUAACAUAUGAAAUCAGAUCUAGAAGAAUACAUUGAGUUACUUGCUUGAAGCUUCUUGUUCUUGGAGCUUAGAGUCACAUUUUUCACUCCUCUAAUGGCUUACAAACACCUGCUAGCAAGAGGAUAUUUGAGAUAGGGAGAGAGAGGUGAGAAAUUGGCCCUAGGGUUUCCUCUAUCAUAGAGUGGCCGAUUUCCCUCACCUAAGGGACCUAUUUAUACUAUGAGCUCCUAGGGUUUCACCAUAAACCCUAAUUAGGUAACUUAGCCUCAAAGCAAUCCAAAGACCCUUCUAGAUGAUAACCUUGGAUGAUUCUAAGAUAUCCUUAUCUUAAAAAUCGUCCCCCCUUAUUAUCUAUAAGGAUUCAUAGCCCAAAACACAACUAUCACACAUUUGACAGCUUAUGCCCCUUUUUAUUUAAUUAAUCUCUUUAAGUCACCAAAUUAAUUCCUAAUUAAUUUAUGACAUAUAUCAAUCAAAUAAUAUUAUUAUUCCUUUAACAUAUUAUUCUUAUAAUACAUUAAUAAUAAUAUCUCUUCUCUCUAUAUAAAUCACCCUGUCAAGUUGCUAUGGUGAAGGCAACCCAAAAGGACCAUGCACAACCGGGUCAAGUACUUUCCAAAUAUAGUUAGAGCCUUAGACACUAAUCCAACAGUCUCCCACUUGGAUAAGUCUAGUAACUAUAAAUGCAAACACAAUCCGAUUAGCAAUCAUAGCUCUCAAAGACGCUGUCAACUCUGAUCUUCUCAGUAUCUAGUCCAUUAGAUAAGGGAUCAUACAGUCCUCUGUUUUGAUAUCGUGCAGACAAUCUCAUGAAACAUUGUCAUACUUAUUGUCUAGCAAUUAUUUUCUCGUUCUCAGAUUUAUUUGGCAUAGAACUUAAUUGAACACAUCAAUUUAAUCCUGACCGGGCCCGACACAUAAGUCAAAUCAAAUCAUCGAGCGGUCGUGAUAUCGCUUUUACCCUCUCAGGAUAAAAGUAACAGAUAAACUUCGACUUAUAUGCAUUUACUUAUUCACUAAUCAACUAUACACAACAAUGCGUUUUAUGACAUCAAUUUACUAAUGCGGUUUCGCAUUAUCAAUGCACAACCAAUUAGUAAACAAUAAACCAUAUAUCUAGGUUUUAAGACCAUAUGAUAUUAUCGUCUUGCGAUCACUUGCGGUACAUUCCAUAAAGUGAUUCCAGCAAGCGCAGGUUUAUUCCAAUGCUCAAAACUUGUUCAUAAGCACUCAUGAACGUUGUAGCAAACCUUUGCUACGUCUAAUACCAUUUAUACAAUCUACAGACCAAUUCAUGACAAUCUUCAUUAAUACGUACUUCUAACAUAUGAACGAUUGUGGAUUGUUUGAAUAAUUCGAUUAUUCUUAAUAAACUCAAUUAUUCUAGAAGUCAAAACAUGCAAUGUGAAACAAUAGUUAAACAAUUAACAUAAGACAAAACUUUUAAAUAAUACUCCUUUAUUUAAUCAUCAAAUGUCAAUUACAUUUAUCUAUUACAAGUUUCCAAACUAUCUAAUCUAAACUAAUAUCAUCCUUCAGCCCAGUGCUCCUAGCAUGCUGCAAGUGGUUAACCCUGCUCAGUCCCUUCGUAAGCGGAUCUACUGGGUUAUCUUCUGAUGAUAUCAUCUUAACCACGAGGUGUCCUUCUUCUACUCAAUGUGUAAUAAAGUGAUAUUUUAUGUCGAUAUGCUGAGAUCUACCAUGAUCCCUCGGUUCCUUGGUCAAGGCAACCGCUCCUUCAUUAUCACAGAAAAUUUCCAUAGGCUCCUUUAUGGCAGGCACAACUCCAAGGUCACCAAUGAAGUUCUUCAGCCAUAUCGCCUCCUUUGAUGCUUCGCUCGCUGCAAUGUACUCUGAUUCGCACGUUGAAUCAGCUACAGUUUCCUGCUUGGAACUUUUCCAAGUCACUGCUCCUCCAUUUAGGGUAAAGACCCAGCCCGACUGCGAACGGUAGUUGUCCCUGUCGGUCUGGAAGCUGGCGUCACUAUACCCUCGCACCUUUAAGUCAUCACUCCCUCCGAGGACUAAAAACCAUUCCUUGGUCCUCCGAAGGUACUUAAGGAUAUUCUUGACCGCAAUCCAAUGGGCUCUGCCAGGGUUCCCUUGAUAUCUACUGACCAUGCUCAAAGCAAAGGCUACAUCAGGGCGAGUACAAGUCAUAGCAUACAUGAUUGAGCCAACUGCGGAAGCGUAAGGUACUCGGCUCAUUUCUGCUAUCUCGGCUUCGGUACUCGGACUUUGAGUCUUACUCAACUUGGCAUUACUUUGUAUCGGUAGUUCUCCCUUCUUUGAUUUUUCCAUACUAAAACGUUUUAGUACCUUAUCUAAGUAAUUAUUCUGACUAAGUCCUAUUAGUCUCUUACUUCGUUCUCUCACUAUCCUUAUUCCCAAAAUAUAGGAAGCCUCUCCGAGGUCCUUCAUAGAGAAACACUUCCCGAACCAGGACUUAACUUCCUGCAGAGUCGGGAUGUCAUUUCCCAUGAGUAGUAUGUCAUCGACAUACAAAACGAGGAAGCUAACUAUACUCCCACUGGCUUUGACAUAUACACAUGAUUCAUCUUCGCUUCGUACAAAUCCAAACUCUUUGACUUUCUCAUCAAAGCAAAGAUUCCAUCUGCGAGAUGCUUGCUUAAGUCCAUAAAUGGACUUCUCAAGCUUGCACACUCUAUUGGGAUGCUUGGCAUCGACAAAACCCUCCGGCUGAGCCAUGUAAACAUCCUCAGCCAACUUCCCAUUAAGGAAAGCAGUCUUGACAUCCAUUUUCCAUAUUUCAUAAUCAUGAAAUGCAGCAAUGACUAGCAUCACCCUUAUAGACUUUAUUUUCGCAGCUGGUGAGAAGGUCUCAUCAUAGUCAACUCUAGGAGUUUGAGUAAAUCCCUUUGCAACCAAUCGCACCUUAUACAUGUGUACAUUCCCAUCCACAUCAGUCUUCUUCUUGAAGAUCCAUUUGCACCCAACCGUCUUACGUCUGAGCACAUUGUCAACCAAAUUCCAAACUUGGUUGUCAUACAUGGACUGAAUCUCGCUGUCCAUCGCCUCUUUCCAUUUUGNUGUCCAUCGCCUCUUUCCAUUUCGCAGACUCUGGGCCUGCCAUGGCUUCCUUAUUGCUAUUAGGUUCAUCUAGAUUUAUCAGUGUACCAUCACUAAUAUACGUGUCCCCUUCA
RNAcentral lists this long non-coding RNA (36490 nucleotides) under Lactuca sativa (garden lettuce). RNAcentral's name for it is "long non-coding RNA (LSAT_LNC006784)". Lineage: Eukaryota; Viridiplantae; Streptophyta; Magnoliopsida; Asterales; Asteraceae. The record is from RNAcentral.